CUCAAUGGAUGCUGGGAGAUUUGGAUAAGACGCAGGAGGUUAUUGCCGCACAGGGUGACCAGCAUUGCCAGCAGCAGUUGCACUUUGACCAAGAUGGCCUCCAAUUUGAGAAAGGUCUGCAUUACAGCCAUCAGUAAAAUCAGACAGGGUAACAUGAAGAUCGGUGGACAACAUUGCUUUGUGAUGUUAGAUGAAAGCAAAUUCUCCCACAAGAGGAAAUAUAACAGAGGACAGGUUGGACCUGCCUGGUGCCGGACAAAGAAGUGGGUUUUGGGCUUACUUGAAGUGGGGCAAGUAUCAAGAAGACCCAUACUGAAGAGGCCGCUCUAGAGAAGAUCUCCUGCCAACCAUAAUACGUCAUGUCAGAGGAGGCUCACAAAUUUGAAUUUGAAUUUGAAUUUGAAAAUCUUUAUUGUCCCCUAAGGGCAAUUUGGUUUGCAACAGAAGUUAAAACACACAAUCUUACAAUAUCACACAAAUUGUCUCUGAUGAAUGGCAAGCUUACAAGUGGGCACUUACAGAUCUAGGGUUUGACCAUCACACAGUAUGUCAUAAAAGACAUUUUGUUGACCCAUACACUGGAGCCCACACUCAGCACUUGGAACGUGCAUGGCAGACGUUCAAGGUUGAAGUAUGGAGGCACCGUGGAAACCGUACCACAAACCUUUUGAAGGAACAUUUAAGAGUGAUCAAGUGGGAAUAUUGGCUGGGCAGAAAUCACAGAUUUCACAUUAUCGGCCGGCUGUUGCAUGACAUUAGGAAAUAUGCUGUGCAUAAUUGUUGAAAAGUGAGGUACACACAGGUGCAGGUCUGCAGAUACAUGCUUCUCUCUGAUGAACCAGAAUCUGUGUAUCAUUUUGUUCUUUCCAUUUUCAAUUGACUAUCACAAAUCAAAAAAUGAAAAAGUGACUGGUUAUUUGUUUUUGAAUCUGAUACCAAAAAAGAAAAAGGGCUUGUUUUUCAUGCUUUAGAUUUUAGGCUCAGAUCAAAAAUAUGAAAUGGAAAAAUGGGCCACAGGAGAGAAUUUGAUUUUAAUAUUUAAUUGGUUGGAUUUACAUGACCCGGUGUUGUGUCGAACUCUUGUUUCCCCUAGCCCUGCCACCGUGACCGAUGCAUUGUCAGGAUGUGUUCCCCCUGAUAUAAUAGACACAUUUAGGGAUAUAGGUUAAAAAACACAUCACAACA
Molecule: long non-coding RNA, 1185 nt
Organism: Epinephelus fuscoguttatus (brown-marbled grouper)
Lineage: Eukaryota; Metazoa; Chordata; Actinopteri; Perciformes; Serranidae
Exons: 3
Source: RefSeq, a predicted model, not a curated record